AUUGAACGCUGGCGGCAGGCCUAACACAUGCAAGUCGAGCGGAUGAAUGGAUCUUGCUCCUGGAUUCAGCGGCGGACGGUUGAGUAAUGCCUAUGAAUCUGCCUGGUAGUUGGGGAUAACGUCCUGAUACGGGCUCUAAUCCCGCAUACGUCCUUUUGGUGAAAGUGGGGGAUCUUCGGUCCUCACGCUUUCUUAUUAGCCUAGGUCGGAUUAGCUAGUUGGUUGGGUAAAUGCCUACCAAGGCUACGAUCCGUAACUGGUCUGAGAGGAUGAUCAGUCACACUGGAACUGAGACACGGUCCAGACUCCUACGGGAGGCAGCAGUGGGGAAUAUUGGACAAUGGGGGAAAGCCUGAUACAGCAAAGCCGCGUGUGUGAAGAAGGUCUUCGGAUUGUAAAGCAAUUUAAGUUGGGAGGAAGGGAAGUAAGUUAAUACCUUGCUGUAUUGACGUUACCAAAAGAAUAAGCACCGGCUAACUUCGUG
Molecule: ribosomal RNA, 484 nt
Filed under: uncultured bacterium
Lineage: Bacteria
Description: partial 16S ribosomal RNA
Rfam family: Bacterial small subunit ribosomal RNA
Source: RNAcentral